Long non-coding RNA from Salvelinus fontinalis (brook trout), 1439 nucleotides. RefSeq lists it as uncharacterized. NCBI's taxonomy places the organism in Eukaryota, Metazoa, Chordata, Actinopteri, Salmoniformes, Salmonidae. The transcript is spliced from 2 exons. The record is from RefSeq and is a predicted model, not a curated record.
UUGUGCUGGCUGUAGCCAUAUACAAACGUCAGAUAACGGCUCAUUCCAUCAACUAUAUUUAGCAAACUACUGUAGCAUAAUAGCCGCCAGUGCAAUGACCCGAGUGGGAAUAUUGUUUUUAUUGUAUACAUUUGCAAACAUUUCUAAAAACCUGUUUUUUGCUUUGACAUAAGGCUGUAAUGUAACAAAACGUGUAAAAGGUUAAGGGGUCUGAAUACUUUCCGAAUGCAUGGUAAGUCUAAAGAGUUACGGUGAACGUACACUAGAUAGAGGCACGCCGCUUAGGCCGAUCAUUGUGGGCGUGCUGGCAGCAUAUGGCAGCAGGUUCGAUCGUGCGUCAAGAAUUCAGCAUAGCAAGUUUGUAUGAAGGUCUGGUUAUUAAAUGAGUACAUAGUUCAAUAGUAAUAUCCUCUAAAACGCUCCGGUGACAAACAGACAGUUUCCAAUUGUCCACAUGACUGGUAGAACCUAUUCAAGUAAGUUUUCUGUCCUCAGAUAAAGAGAGCUAUGAAACCUGUCUACAUAUGAAGAGGUCCCAAUGAAGGGCUUGGGAUUGUGUUGUGCAGUAAGCAGGCUCAAGUGUAUAACUGUGGCUCCUUCCACCUUCAAAGAAUAGGCAAGAGGGCCAACCAUGGAGAAUAGUAAGACACUUCAUUAUUUCUAUAACUACGCUAUAUUGUUUGUUCUUGUGUUUCCGUUCAUGUUUUUCAGCAUAAAGUACUCUGCAGCCACUUAGUGUGGCCACCAGGUGAGGCCACACACUCAGAUUCCUGUUGAACACUCACUUAAACUACCUUAUUUUCUCAAUAAACACUCUCCUUCACUUCAUCCCUCUCUCCUCCCUAAAUCCUCUAGGUUAUAUCAGCUGUGUCGGUAAACCCCUCCCGCAUCUGAAACUGGCUACAUAGAGGGCACUUUGUCAGGUCAACAAGAAGUAUUAUUAAAGAGAUGCUUUACAUUGAAAUACAGAUAGAGAUGUAGUAGUCCCAGAGUUAAUGAUCCAAGGUCAGUUUUGCAUUGAACCUGAUGAUUAUGAUGACUAACAAUGUUAGAAUAAAAAUAAAAACAAGGUUUAAACAUGCUAUCUGUCUCGUCUGCAGAUAUGUUUUGAUGUGAGACAGGAUGCCAACUCCCAGUCCCAUCAUCGCAACCUCAUCCGCUCUUAAGAUAACCUUCGGGCCGACUGAUGAACUGAGAGAAUAUUUGGGUAGCAAUGAUUCAUUAAUCAUAUGCUGCCUUCCCUUCUCCUAUUUUCUUACCUCUUUCCCUUUGUCUGUUACACCUCUCACCACCGCUUUCUUCCUGUUUUUAGAAUGCACAACAGAUGUGUAUUGAAGUACAGAUCGAACCUGUAUUUAUAAUAUUACAAAUAUAUUUAUGCAUGUAUUUAUAACACUUGGAUAAUGAACUUCUUUCAAUAAAGCGUUUCACAUUCUCUA